UCUCUGCAGCCUCGACCUCUUGAGCUCAAGCAAGCCUCUCCACUCGGCCUCCAGAGUAGCUGAGACUACAGGCACACACCAUCACACCUGGCUAAUUUUUUAACUUUUGUAGAGACAAGGUCUUGCCAUGUUGGCCAGGCUGGUCUCAAACUCUUGGGCUCAAGUGAUCCUCCUGCUUUGGCCUCACAAAGUGCUGUAAUUACAGGCAUGAGCCACUGCGCCUGGCCAACAACAUUUUUUUCUAUUGAAUUAUAAGGCUGACUUUAGGAUAUUUCAGUUUAAUAGAAUCAUCAUCAUCAUUUAAGUAUUUACUAUGUACCACAGUAUAAGCAUUUUACAAGAAUGUCAUAGGUAACUUUCAAUACAACUACCAAGACAGGUGCCAUUAAUAGUUGCAAUUGACAGAUGAGGAGCUUGAGUCUCUCAACAGUUAUGUAAGCUGCCCAAGACCACAUAGCUACUAAUUUUUACUUGUAAGUGCAAGAAAAAUUCCCAUACUCAGGAAUGUCUGGCCUUACCACCUCCUUUCCCAUGUGUCUGUCUUUGAACACCUGGUGUGGCCACGUGAGGAGCAUCAAGUUGUCAUUUCCACUCAUCCUUCAUCAAACAUACACAGAGAGGUGAAGAAGGGCUGGUCUGAUGGGCCAUAGAAGACAGUUGGCCCAUAGUUUCUACGGUAAGAACCUUUCUAAGUAUUCAUCCCCAUGCAUGAGGCCAAUUUAUAAUAGGAAGUGAAAAUCAAAAUG
Molecule: long non-coding RNA, 746 nt
Filed under: Homo sapiens (human)
Lineage: Eukaryota; Metazoa; Chordata; Mammalia; Primates; Hominidae
Description: non-protein coding lnc-ATXN7-13:1
Source: RNAcentral